RNAcentral lists this ribosomal RNA (163 nucleotides) under Legionella israelensis DSM 19235. Its description in RNAcentral is "16S rRNA. Bacterial SSU". It matches the Rfam family "Bacterial small subunit ribosomal RNA", at positions 1 to 155 of the family's 1533-position model. The record is from RNAcentral. Lineage: Bacteria; Pseudomonadati; Pseudomonadota; Gammaproteobacteria; Legionellales; Legionellaceae.
UUGAACUGAAGAGUUUGAUCCUGGCUCAGAUUGAACGCUGGCGGCAUGCCUAACACAUGCAAGUCGAACGGCAGCAUGGUCCAGCUUGCUGGACUGAUGGCGAGUGGCGAACGGGUGAGUAAUGCGUAGGAAUAUGCCUUAGAGAGGGGGAUAACCCGGGGAA